Molecule: ribosomal RNA, 536 nt
Filed under: Wickerhamomyces sp. Z4Y32
Lineage: Eukaryota; Fungi; Ascomycota; Saccharomycetes; Phaffomycetales; Wickerhamomycetaceae
Description: eukaryotic LSU rRNA
Rfam family: 5.8S ribosomal RNA (bases 166-319)
Source: RNAcentral
GCUUAUUGCGCGGCGAUAAACCUUACACACAUUGUCUAGUUUUUUUGAACUUUGCUUUGGGUGGUGAGCCUGGCUUACUGCCCAAAGGUCUAAACACAUUUUUUUUAAUGUUAAAACCUUUAACCAAUAGUCAUGAAAAUUUUUAACAAAAAUUAAAAUCUUCAAAACUUUCAACAACGGAUCUCUUGGUUCUCGCAACGAUGAAGAACGCAGCGAAAUGCGAUACGUAUUGUGAAUUGCAGAUUUUCGUGAAUCAUCGAAUCUUUGAACGCACAUUGCACCCUCUGGUAUUCCAGAGGGUAUGCCUGUUUGAGCGUCAUUUCUCUCUCAAACCUUCGGGUUUGGUAUUGAGUGAUACUCUGUCAAGGGUUAACUUGAAAUAUUGACUUAGCAAGAGUGUACUAAUAAGCAGUCUUUCUGAAAUAAUGUAUUAGGUUCUUCCAACUCGUUAUAUCAGCUAGGCAGGUUUAGAAGUAUUUUAGGCUCGGCUUAACAACAAUAAACUAAAAGUUUGACCUCAAAUCAGGUAGGACUAC